RNAcentral lists this unclassified non-coding RNA (1635 nucleotides) under Zea mays. RNAcentral's name for it is "misc RNA Zm00001eb285710". The record is from RNAcentral. Lineage: Eukaryota; Viridiplantae; Streptophyta; Magnoliopsida; Poales; Poaceae.
AUCCUUAUCGCCUGUACGUCCGUCCAGCGCUUGCCGGACUCGCGCCGCCGUCCCCAGCAGAUUUUUAGCCGCCGCCCUCGCCCUGGAUAAGAACCGCGCGCAGCCCAGCUGCUUCUUCUUCCCUGGUACCCGUGCGCAGUCCUGGAGAUUUUUCUCACGGAGCUUAUCUCCUUCUUGCAGCGCUCGGUGCCCAGCCGUGGAGCUUGCCGCACCGUCGCCCAGCUCCUUCUCGACUUCUCUCUGGCUCGCCGCUCGCCCAUGGGAGUCGCGUCCCGGCCAAGCCCCCAGCCCGGAUCCCCUAUUUCUCUCCCUGCGCGCGCGUCUCCAGUUCCAUGGCCGCACCCGGUUCCUUGCUCCAUCCCUGGGCGGAGCUCCUCUCUGCUCGGCGCUUUGCUGCUCGCCCAGCCAAGCUUCUUUUCCGCACGCAGGCUCCUCCCAUGGUGCUCGCGCGUCACCUCUGGCUCCCCUGGGUGCCGCAGUCGCCCCAGCUCUCUUUGCUCCUUUCCAGAUCCCUGUGUCGCGCGCUGCCGUCCUCUGCUCGAAGCUCCCGUGGCGCGCAUCUCCUCUAUCUCUCCCUCAGCUCGCUCCCGGCCGAGCUCCUCCCUCGCCCAUGGUCGCGGUGCUCCAAGUUCAGAGCUCACGCGGUCCUCUGUCCCUGCUUGCCCUCUGCCUGCUUCCAUGGCGUCGUGGCUUCCCAUCUCUCUCCCUCGCAUUUUCCUCUGUCUGCCAUGAACGUAGGAGUUCUUCUGUUCGGCCCCAGCUCGAUUUAGUCUUCAGCUGUCUGCGCACGCGCAGCUCGCUCUUACUUUAUUUGCCGCGCGCACGAAUUUUAUCUGCUCGCCACAGCAUCAUCGCUUGUGUCGCAAGCUCGUUAGCCACAGUUAUCUUAACCGCGUCAGCACGUGACCGUGGUCGUGUUCGUCGAGUUCGCCAACACUAUGUUGUCGAUUCGACUAUCGUCGCUGUUAUAUGCCUCGUUGCAUGCUCGCCGAGUGUUGUCGGUACCUCAGCAUUUGUGCUUGCCGCUGGCUCGUGUUAACGCUCGCGCGCCUGCUCGUUAUCACUGCGUCGCACUCACUCUUUGUCCAUCAGGCUUCACGCGUGCUCGCGUUUGUCGUCGAGCUGUUGAACCCGUCCUCCCUUGCUCGUGACUUCAUCGUCGCUAGAACCCUCACUAAAUUCGUGUCCUCGCCAGCUCACUCCAUAUUCAAUCUCGUCGUCGUUCCGCGCGUCAGCAAAAAAUCUUAAUAGUCGGGUGAAGACGGAGCCAACAGCAUGGUGUUCAUCAAGUGCGCGACAAAAAGCUCGGACAUCCUAGCAACUCAAGUUUGAUUCGUCAGAAUUAUUCAGUCGAGAAAAAGAUCUUCAGCAAUUGAUUACCGAAGAAAAGAAGACCCCUGGAUGACGUCAACCGAAAACCGUCGUCGUGCUUGCGACUAUCGCGUCAAAUUAGACAGGGUAUGAUAAAUAAUCGCGUGAUGCGGAAGACAAGCCAAGUCGACCUCAAGCGUGGGCUAAUCCGCGGGAUGAUGCUGAUGGACGAAUCGGAAGAUGGAUAAUCUGAACAAUGCCAACACAAAAGGCUGAUCGUCAAGUGGUUGUCGUCUAACAACACUAACCUAGUGUUACCCAGGC